This 253-nucleotide ribosomal RNA is filed under the name uncultured bacterium. Its description in RNAcentral is "partial 16S ribosomal RNA". It matches the Rfam family "Bacterial small subunit ribosomal RNA", at positions 524 to 776 of the family's 1533-position model. The record is from RNAcentral.
UACGAGGGGGGCGAGCGUUGUUCGGAAUUAUUGGGCGUAAAGGGUGCGUAGGCGGCCUGACAAGUCUGAUGUGAAAUCCCUGGGCUCAACCCAGGGCCUGCAUCGGAAACUGUCGGGCUUGAGUAUGGGAGAGGAGUGUGGAAUUCCCGGUGUAGCGGUGAAAUGCGCAGAUAUCGGGAAGAACACCCGUGGCGAAGGCGGCACUCUGGGACGGUACUGACGCUGAGACGCGAAAGCGUGGGGAGCGAACAGG